RNAcentral lists this non-coding RNA (27 nucleotides) under Homo sapiens (human). Lineage: Eukaryota; Metazoa; Chordata; Mammalia; Primates; Hominidae. The record is from RNAcentral.
UCACAGAAGUUGCCACUCAUGACUUGC